Saccharata proteae CBS 121410 is the source of this 72-nucleotide non-coding RNA. Lineage: Eukaryota; Fungi; Ascomycota; Dothideomycetes; Botryosphaeriales; Saccharataceae. The record is from the annotation of a GenBank genome assembly.
GGCACCAUGGCCUAAUGGUAAGGCGCUACUUUCCGGUGGUAGAGAUUGAGGGUUCGAGUCCCUCUGGUGUCG